UGCCAUGCCUUUCCACAGCUCUCUUGAACAUCUCUCGUGCCUCUCUCUCUCUCUCUACUGGAGAGAUAUACAUCUUCUCUGUGAGCUUAUAGAGAGAGGAGUGCGAGAAGAGGGUCAAGAAAGCUCUGUGAAGAAAUGGCA
RNAcentral lists this microRNA precursor (141 nucleotides) under Oryza sativa Japonica Group (Japanese rice). RNAcentral describes it as "osa-MIR396c". The record is from RNAcentral. Lineage: Eukaryota; Viridiplantae; Streptophyta; Magnoliopsida; Poales; Poaceae.